AUAGUAAUGAUUAGGAUUUAGGAGUGAGAUUUAAAUAAAUAAAAGAAUUGACUAAAUUAUUGUUAGAGAAAUAUAUGGUAACAUAUUGUUAGUAUAAAUUUAAGGUAAGACCAAAAAAUAAUAAGUUAAAUAAGAAGGUCCAAACAACUUUUAUAAGUAGUUUUUUUAGACUCUUUUCCUUUUAAUAGUAUUGAUGUAAUUACUUGAUUUCCUUUGGUAUUCACAUUAUAUACAAAUAUAUAUUUUUCAUAUAAGAAAAUGUAGAUAUAAAGAAUUACUUUAUUACUUCAAAAGUAUAUUUUAUGUUAUUUAUAAAUAUUUUUUUAAAUGGAAUAUUACUAUUUUCUGAACUUUUCUUUUUAAUGAAAUCAUAUUAUAUAUACAUAUAUUUUCGUUUUUAAAUUUUCUUUUUAAACUUUAUAAAGAUUUCUUUUUUGUUAUAUAUGUUAUUUGGAAAAUUUUAAAAAUGAAACUAAAUGAAAAACUAAUAAUAGUAUUUAAAUAUAAUAUUUUUAAUUAUCAGUGUAAUCAACCAUCAAAUACGUAAGAAACCGACUUUUCGGUUAGUGUCAUAGAGAGAACCAUAGAAACUGAGAGUUGACAUAUUUUUUUAGUUUUCUUUGAAAAAAAUCACACCGUUUACAUGUGUCAUUAAAAAUUGUAUGAUCACAAAUACACCUUUAUAGUCAUGAUUACUCAUAUUUAUGUGAGAAAAGAACAUAUUGUAAGAAAAGUCAAAGAUGAAAAAAUGUAAGUGUGGUCGAAGUCUUUUAACACUAAGGAAAUCAGAACAGAUAUAGUAGUCAGUCCUCCACUUCGUGGCUGUAAAUAAAAUGAUUUGAAAGGUUGACACCGAUGAGUUGUUAUCAAAUCAUAUUUGCGAAAUCUAUCAUCUUACUGACUCUUUUGUCUUUUUUGAUGGGUGAUUCUAUUUGUAUUCCUCAUGGCUGGUUUGAUUCUAAGGACCACAUUAUUUAUAUAGUGGAUGGUUUUUUUUUCUUA
Long non-coding RNA from Brassica rapa (field mustard), 1002 nucleotides. RefSeq lists it as uncharacterized. The record is from RefSeq and is a predicted model, not a curated record. Lineage: Eukaryota; Viridiplantae; Streptophyta; Magnoliopsida; Brassicales; Brassicaceae.